UAAAAAAUUUGGCGGUAUUUUAGUCUAUUCAGAGGAACCUGUUCUGUAAUCGAUAAUCCGCGAUGGACCUUACUUAAAUUGGUGAAGUUUAUAUACCGUCGUUAUUAGAAUAUUUUAUAAGAAUGUUAAUUUUCAAAAUUUUAAAAAAGAAAAUAUAUCAGAUCAAGGUGUAGCUUAUAUUUAAGUAGAAAUGGGUUACAAUAAAUUUAUUUAUAUGAAUAUAAGUUUGAAAUACUUAUUGAAAGUGGAUUUGAUAGUAAAGUUAUAAAGAUUAAUAACUUGAUUUUAGCUCUAAAAUAUGUACACAUCGCCCGUCACUCUUAUUACUAAGAUAAGAUAAGUCGUAACAUAGUAGAUGUACUGGAAAGUGUAUCUAGAAUGCAAUUUAAAGCUUAUUAGUAAAGCAUUUCAUUUACAUUGAAAAGAUUUUUGUGCAAAUCAAUAUAAAUUGAAUAUUUUUUAUUUAUUAAUUUUGUUUGUUUAUUUAUUAUUUUAUUAAAAAUAAUUAUAAAAAGUUUAGUUUUAGUAUUUUAUAAAGAAAAAAUAAAUUUAAUUAUAGUGAAUUAGUAUUGUGAAAGAAAAUUGAAAUAAUUUGAAAAUUAUUAUUUUAAAAGAAAAUU
This 620-nucleotide ribosomal RNA is filed under the name Eudasyphora cyanella. Its description in RNAcentral is "partial 12S ribosomal RNA". The stretch from base 1 to 384 matches the Rfam family "Microsporidia small subunit ribosomal RNA", at positions 779 to 1311 of the family's 1311-position model. Lineage: Eukaryota; Metazoa; Arthropoda; Insecta; Diptera; Muscidae. The record is from RNAcentral.